AGGGUAACCUAGCUAAUAUCUAGGAUUAUCGGACGUUACUCGCAGAAUAAGCACCGGCUAACUCUGUGCCAGCAGCCGCGGUAAUACAGAGGGUGCGAGCGUUAAUCGGAAUUACUGGGCGUAAAGCGCGCGUAGGCGGUUUGUUAAGUCGGAUGUGAAAUCCCCGGGCUCAACCUGGGAACUGCAUUCGAUACUGGCAAGCUAGAGUAUGGGAGAGGAUGGUAGAAUUCCAGGUGUAGCGGUGAAAUGCGUAGAGAUCUGGAGGAAUACCGAUGGCGAAGGCAGCCAUCUGGCCUAAUACUGACGCUGAGGUGCGAAAGCAUGGGGAGCAAACAGGAUUAGAUACCCUGGUAGUCCAUGCCGUAAACGAUGUCAACUAGCCGUUGGGGACCUUGAGUCUUUAGUGGCGCAGCUAACGCGAUAAGUUGACCGCCUGGGGAGUACGGCCGCAAGGUUAAAACUCAAAUGAAUUGACGGG
This 478-nucleotide ribosomal RNA is filed under the name uncultured bacterium. RNAcentral describes it as "bacterial SSU rRNA". It matches the Rfam family "Bacterial small subunit ribosomal RNA", at positions 440 to 917 of the family's 1533-position model. The record is from RNAcentral.